This 433-nucleotide ribosomal RNA is filed under the name uncultured bacterium. RNAcentral describes it as "partial 16S ribosomal RNA". It matches the Rfam family "Bacterial small subunit ribosomal RNA", at positions 29 to 507 of the family's 1533-position model. The record is from RNAcentral.
AACGAACGCUGGCGGCAUGCCUAACACAUGCAAGUCGAACGAGACCUUCGGGUCUAGUGGCGCACGGGUGCGUAACGCGUGGUAACCCGCCCUUAGUUUCGGAAUAACUCCCCGAAAGGGGUGCUAAUACCGGAUAAUGUCUUCGGACCAAAGCUUUAUCGCCUUUGGGUGGGCCCGCGUUUGCUUUGGUAGUUGGUAGGGUAAAAGCCUACCAAGGCGACGAUCCAUAGCUGUUCUGAGAGGAUGAUCAGCCACACUGGGACUGGGACAAGGCCCAGACUGCAGGGGGAGGCAGCGAGUGGGGAACAAGGGCAAUGGGCGAGAGGCAGAUCCAGCGAGGCCGCGUUGAUGAUCAAGGGCUUGGGGUUGUAAGGCUCUUUUGACCGGGAGGAUAAUGACAGUACCGGGAGAAUAAGCUCCGGCUAACUCCGUG